This is a long non-coding RNA of Ictalurus punctatus (channel catfish), 1120 nucleotides long. Lineage: Eukaryota; Metazoa; Chordata; Actinopteri; Siluriformes; Ictaluridae. The record is from Ensembl.
UCUCUCUCUCUGUUUUAGGAAGCUUUGUCUUGAUCUAGACAAUUAGAGGAUUCCUUGGUGUAAUAAUCAGCUGAGGAAAGACGUUGCGUUAUUCGGGAUCGUACGGGUCAAAGCGGAGCCUGCGAGCCGCGCGGGAGCCUCGCUGACCGCUGUGAGCCUCAUAAACCUCUCACAGUUUGAGGAGUAAAUUAAUUAAUCAUCGUUUUCUGCCUCAUCGAGCGCCGCGGGGGCCCCGUCACAAUUAGCCUACGCCGGGCUGAGGGGUUUUCGCCGAGAGAAGCGCUCCGGCCGUCAGGGGAGAGCCGGCUUUGUGAUUACGACAGGCUAAUAAAUAUGUCAGAGGAGCGACGGAACACCUGAGGAAAGAAGAAGAAGACUCCAAGUGUAUAGCACUAAGCGAGGAUUAAACACUGGAAUAAACGAUUUGAGAAGAGAAACACAGUGUACUGGACUGAUAUCGACCUCGUACGCUACCUACACGUCCUCGGCACGCCAGCGGACUCUCGCGCGUUCCCUCGAGUGCGUUCUGACACUGAAGAUUGUCAACACGACUUGAACAUCUGUAGCCGCUGCUUCACAUUUAGACUGCCUUUUCAGGACAGGAAGCCAUUACCGAACCAGCUGAGUGGGCCAAAAAGCUAGCUGUUAGCGUGUAGCCCGAGGCUAAAUGACCCGAGGAUACAGCCUCCGAGGACAGCGCUAUGAAAUAUUUACCCGCCUGUUGUGCCGCCUACUUAGCGCUGUUGUGUCCGUUUGCUCCAGGCGUCUCCUGAUUCGUCUCUUUCACCUCCGUUUUUAUUUCUUAAUCCGUUUCGUAUUUUAGUUUUAGAUUUCCAUCUUACAUAAAUCGUGAUGGGAGGAAGCGAGCACGCUGGUGAUAUUUAUUUAUUUAUUUUUUUCAUUUUAUUACUCUAAAAUUCUAUACAUUUGAAUUAUUUAUAAAGAAAAAUAUAGACUUAUAAAUUAGCAUUUCAUUCAAAGUAUUUUCAUUUAUUUUUUAUGUCAUUAUUCUAAAGAAGUUCUGACUUCUUUAUUUAUUUAUUUAUUUUGAAUGGAAAGUACUUUAAUAAUUUUGUUUGAUUUUUUAUUUAACUUUAUUAUCCUACAUUUUAAAAAGUAU